This is a small nucleolar RNA of Bubalus bubalis (water buffalo), 208 nucleotides long. RefSeq annotates it as small nucleolar RNA U3. NCBI's taxonomy places the organism in Eukaryota, Metazoa, Chordata, Mammalia, Artiodactyla, Bovidae. The record is from RefSeq and is a predicted model, not a curated record. The transcript has a single exon.
AAAAAUCUAUUUCAUCCUUAUCAACAAAGAAUUGAACAUGUACCUUUUAAAAAAGAUACUGUUCCAUGAGGAGGAGAUGCAGUGUCCUCUUCUGAGCGUGAAGCCGGUCUUUGGUGUUGCUUCUGCAGCUGCCAUUGGCCAUUGAUGAUCGUUCUUCUCUUCUCUUCUUUUUGGGAGAGUAAGGGGGAGAGGACACCGUCUGAGUGGU